CCUACGGGAGGCAGCAGUGGGGAAUAUUGCACAAUGGGCGCGAGCCUGAACCAGCCAAGUAGCGUGAAGGAUGACUGCCCUACGGGUUGUAAACUUCUUUUAUAAGGGAAUAAAGUGCGGGACGUGUCCCGUUUUGUAUGUACCUUAUGAAUAAGGAUCGGCUAACUCCGUGCCAGCAGCCGCGGUAAUACGGAGGAUCCGAGCGUUAUCCGGAUUUAUUGGGUUUAAAGGGUGCGUAGGCGGCCUUUUAAGUCAGCGGUGAAAGUCUGUGGCUCAACCAUAGAAUUGCCGUUGAAACUGGGAGGCUUGAGUAUGUUUGAGGCAGGCGGAAUGCGUGGUGUAGCGGUGAAAUGCUUAGAUAUCACGCAGAACCCCGAUUGCGAAGGCAGCCUGCCAAGCCAUGACUGACGCUGAUGCACAAAAGCGUGGGGAUCAAACAGGAUUAGAUACCCCGGUAGUC
Molecule: ribosomal RNA, 460 nt
Filed under: uncultured bacterium
Lineage: Bacteria
Description: partial 16S ribosomal RNA
Rfam family: Bacterial small subunit ribosomal RNA
Source: RNAcentral